CUCAAUCCCAGGACCCUGGGAUCAUGACCUGAGCCAAAGGCAGGCACUUGACCACUGAGCCACCCAGGUGCUCCAGGCUUUAUUUUUUAAAGCAAUUUUAGGUUCAUUGGAAAACAGGAAGGUACAGAGAAUUCCUUCCCAUAUACCCUCUACCCCACAUAUGCAUAGCUUCCCUAUUAUCAGCCUCCUCCACCAGAGAUACAUUUGUUACAGCUGAUAAACCUACAUUGACAUAUUACUAUCAUCCAAAAUUAGGGUUCAUUCCUGGUGUUGGACACAUUGUGGGUUUGGACAUGUGUAUAAUGACACUCAUCUACCAUUAUAGUGUCAUACAGAGUAGUUUCACUGCCCUAAACAUCCAUUACACUCUGACUUUUAUCCCUUCCCCACCUCUUAACCCUUGGAAACCACUGAUACUUUUACUGACUCCAUGGCUUUGUCUUUUCCAGAAUGUCAUGUAGUUGGAAUCAUGCAGUACACAGAUCUUCUCAGGUUGGCUGCUUUCAUUUAGUGAUAUGCACUUAAGUUUCCUCCAUGUCUUUUCAUGGAGUAAUAGCUCAUACCUUUUUAUUGCUGAACAAUUUUCCAUUGUCCAGAUGCACCACAGUUUACUUAUCCAGUUGCCAGCUGAAGGACUCCUUGGUCACUUCCUGGUUUUGACAAUUAUGAAUAAAACUUCCAUAAGCAUCCAUGUGUGCUUUUGGGUGAACAUGUUUUCAGCUCCUUUGAAUAAAUACCAAGAAGAUGCUGGCUUAAUGAAGAUGUGUGGCUCUUGGCUCCUGCAUCUGUGAACCUGAGAGCUACAAAUAUGUAUGUAUAUUUCUUUAUAACAACGGGGGAAUUCAAAUUUGUUCAAAUAAAAAGUCUACUUUAGCUGCAUUAAUUUGGGUAGUAUUAGCUUCUGGAUUGGAUUAACACCAAUUCUCAGUGGAUUAACACAAUAAAAAUAUAUUUCUCAAUUCCCUGUCUAAACUGCUUAGGAAGCUUUCCAUGAGGCAAUUCAGGAUCCAGGCUCCUUCUCUCUUGUGGCUCUGCCCUCCACUAGCCAUUUGGAGAACAAACUGGUGUCGUAUCUUGAAGUUGAAGUUGCGGGUAUCCUGUGACCCAGCAAUUCCAUCAGUAUUGUUGGUAAGGAUUGACUUCCCAGUCAGGAACCCCAGACAACUAAAGAGUACAAACAACUGCAUAUAUAAAUGACUCCCAGUGGUUUCAUUUUUCUACAAGAUGACAUCUGAAGAGCAGGAAAAUAUUGACCAUUCCUACGAGAGAGAAAUCAAUUCUUUUGGAAUGCCACUGUUAGUAGCUGAAAAUGCAAUUGGCAGCAAGUUUCUAAAUGGUGGAGAUCAUCAUCCUCAAAGCAAGCCUAUCUGAGAUUCUGAAUUUGAACAGGAAAAGAUAUCUGUGCCAACAAGAAUCAAGGAAGUAUUAGCUCUUACAGGUGCAUGGGCAGAUACAUGAGAAGGGAUCAUAUACCUUACAGUCACAUUUUAACCAGUUAAAAUAAUUUUAAAAAGAUUUUUAAGUAAUCUCUGUAGCCAAUAUGAGGCUUGAACUCACAACUCUGAGAUCAAGAGUCACAUGCUCCAUUGACUAAGCCAGCCGGGCACCUCCUAGUUUUUAAAAAAUUAAUACAAUUAUUGAUUCAGGGGCAAGAAAAAGUAUAGAAUUUAUCUAUUGUAGGGUAAGUGGGGAUUUAUAGAUAAUACUUUGCUUUGCAGACUGAGUAUUCAAGUAAUAUGACAGGAGCAUGGCAUGAUCACGAGAGUGGCAUGUAUAGAAAAUUUUCUUUUAUGUGGGGACUUACCUGAGGACCUAUUCUCUUCAGAAGAUGCUGGAAAUAUAAGAUAUAGAUAAAAUAAAAUAGGUCUCAGAACAAAAAACAUGUCACUAACUUCAUGGGCUAAAGCUCACGCCUUUUACUCACAGUGAUUUCCUUGCCAUAUCACUCAGAGCUUACUUAAUUUAAUUUUGUGUUUCUGUCUAGUAAGCUUGGUUUGCUGAUUCUUCCUUUAAGUAGCAGUGAGAAGGAACAAAUUAGAAGUGCAGUGUGUGUGUGUGUGUGUGUGUGUGUGUGUGUGGUGGGAUGUGGAUGUUCUAUUAGAAUAAAGGUUCUUAACUAGGGGUGAUUUUGCCUCUCCCCUCACUAGGGGACAUUUGGUGAUGUCUGGGGACAUUUUUUAUGGCCAUGACUAGGGAGGAAGGGAGAGCUGUUAUUGGCAUCCAGAAGAUGAUAAUAUCAUAAGACACACAGGACAACCCCCUCCACCAACAUAAACAAGAAUUAUCUACCCCAAAUGUCAAUAGCGCUGCCCUUGAAGCAGUCAUAAGGACAUCCGCAAGAUGUGUGUGGCUACUUACAACCUAACAGUGAAGAAGGAGGUGGAAAAAUGAUAAAAACGCGCAUAGGAGCUUUAAAAAAUUAAAUUUACAAAAGCAUGUCAAUGUGGCAUGGUUUAGCACAGAGGCAAAGAACUCUAUGCAUGUCAAUAACCCCUGAGGCUGUCUCUGUAUCAGAGCACUGAUAAUGGCUGUUCAAAUAAUGUUAAUAUAUUCAGUUUAAUAAAAUAGAUGGGUGAUCUUUAUUACCUGCAGCUAGGCGGGAAUGUAGAUGGCAGACACUGAUAUCACUGAUAAACAUAUACCUCUGACCUCAGCCUGGAGCUAAGGGAUUGCUACCUAGUGCACUGGAGGCAGAAUUUAUGUGGGUAAGGACAUACAUUUGGGUGCUCCAGCCCUGUCACGGAGUGACCUUGGACACAAGAUUUUAAGUCUUCUGAGCCUCUAGAGGGAAAUAAAAUAUCUACUAUGAUGAGUGAUGUGGAGAUUAAAUAAAAAUACUUGUACCUGAUGCAUAGAACGCAUUUAAUAAACGAUAGUUCUUAUUACUGUAGCUAUGAUUAAGAGAGUAUUCAUUAUAACAAAUAAUAUUUAUAUUUAUGACAUUUUUAUAAUAACAAAUGAGAAAUAAAAGGUAGUUUUUAUGAAUAAUCUGAUGUCCUGAGGUCUAGACAUUUGGGCGUCUUGGUGUUUGGCAAACAAAAGGCUGUUGGCACAAAGUCAGUGACCUGUCUUCUGGUGGCCAAGCUCACUCACCCAUUCACAGACAGCUGUGAUGGGUUCCUGGUACACAGUUGGGGGGGGGUGCGGGGGUCCCUCCAAUCCAGACAGGCCUCCAGGAUUGGAAGAGGAGAAAGAAGGAAAGUAACAGAAAAUUCAUCUGACCUUGAACCACUGAUGGCAUGAUGCUCUUGCUGAAUUUCCUUAAGCCAACAGCCAGCUCAGUGCUGCUGAACAACCACUAGUCUUGAUUCUUCUCACUGCUUCAGGCUAGGAAAGCAAAGGAACUUCGCAGGAUUGAGUAUUGUACUAACUGAUUUCUAUCAGGAAAAACUCGGUAUCCACGAAGCAGUCAGGCAUCCAGGACAUGUUUAAGGACAUCAGUGACUGUCCCUCCUUUAACUCCCAGACUUCUAACUCCUUCAUCUUCAGACAGAACUGGGUCAGCAUCCUGGCGUUGUCGCUUACUAACUUACCUUGGCUAGACAACUUGUGACUGAUAGAGAAGCAAGUUACUUUAUCUCUCUAAGCCUCGGUUUCUUUACCAGUAGAAUGGGAAAGUAAUAACUCUUCUAUUUUUCAGUUUUGUUUAAUACAUCUCAACCAUAUUAUUAAAUAAAGAUUAAAUGCACAUA
Long non-coding RNA from Canis lupus familiaris (dog), 3692 nucleotides. RefSeq lists it as uncharacterized. NCBI's taxonomy places the organism in Eukaryota, Metazoa, Chordata, Mammalia, Carnivora, Canidae. The record is from RefSeq and is a predicted model, not a curated record. The transcript has 2 exons.